RNAcentral lists this ribosomal RNA (443 nucleotides) under uncultured bacterium. RNAcentral describes it as "partial 16S ribosomal RNA". It matches the Rfam family "Bacterial small subunit ribosomal RNA", at positions 338 to 795 of the family's 1533-position model. The record is from RNAcentral.
CCUACGGGGGGCAGCAGUGGGGGAUAUUGGACAAUGGGGGGAACCCUGAUCCAGCGACGCCGCGUGAGUGAAGAAGUAUUUCGGUAUGUAAAGCUCUGUCAGCAGGGAAGAAAGAAAUGACGGUACCUGACCAAGAAGCCCCGGCUAACUACGUGCCAGCAGCCGCGGGAAUACGUAGGGGGCAAGCGUUAUCCGGAAUUACUGGGUGUAAAGGGAGCGUAGACGGUUAAGUAAGUCUGGAGUGAAAGGCCGGGGCCCAACCCCGGGACUGCUCUGGAAACUAUUGAACUUGAGUGCAGGAGAGGUAAGCGGAAUUCCUAGUGUAGCGGUGAAAUGCGUAGAUAUUGGGAGGAACACCAGUGGCGAAGGCGGCUUACUGGACGGUAUCUGACGUUGAGGCUCGAAAGCGUGGGGAGCAAACAGGAUUAGAUACCCUUGUAGUC